RNAcentral lists this ribosomal RNA (487 nucleotides) under uncultured bacterium. Its description in RNAcentral is "bacterial SSU rRNA". It matches the Rfam family "Bacterial small subunit ribosomal RNA", at positions 28 to 513 of the family's 1533-position model. The record is from RNAcentral.
GACGAACGCUGGCGGCGUGCUUAAUACAUGCAAGUCAACUGAACUUGAAGUAGCAAUAUUUUAAGGGAGGUGGCGCACGGGUGAGUAACACGUAGGUAAUCUGCCUUUAGGUCUGACACAACCCCGAGAAAUCGGGGCUAAUAUCAGAUGAUGCAGCGGCUCGACAUCGAGACAGUUGUUAAACCUUCGGGGCCUAAAGAUGAGCCUGCGUCUGAUUAGGUAGUUGGCGGAGUAAAAGCCCACCAAGCCUGCGAUCAGUAGCUGGUCUGAGAGGAUGAUCAGCCACACUGGAACUGAGACACGGUCCAGACUCCUACGGGAGGCAGCAGUAAGGAAUAUUGCUCAAUGGCCGAAAGGCUGAAGCAGCAACGCUGCGUGGAGGACGAAAUACUUUUGUAUGUAAACUCCUGUAAGAAGGGAAAAUAUUCCGAUUUUAUCGGGAUUGAUUGUACCUUCAGAGUAAGCCCCGGCUAACUACGUGCCAGCA